This 402-nucleotide unclassified non-coding RNA is filed under the name plant metagenome. RNAcentral describes it as "partial contains 5.8S ribosomal RNA, internal transcribed spacer 2, and large subunit ribosomal RNA". It matches the Rfam family "Bacterial small subunit ribosomal RNA", at positions 358 to 777 of the family's 1533-position model. The record is from RNAcentral.
GGAAUUUUGCGCAAUGGGGGAAACCCUGACGCAGCAACGCCGCGUGGAGGAUGAAAUAUCUUGGUAUGUAAACUCCUUUCGAUGGGGAAGAUUAUGACGGUACCCAUAGAAGAAGCCCCGGCUAACUUCGUGCCAGCAGCCGCGGUAAUACGAGGGGGGCAAGCGUUGUUCGGAUUUAUUGGGCGUAAAGGGUGCGUAGGCGGUUUGGCAAGUCUUGUGUGAAAUCUUUGGGCUCAACCCAAAGUCUGCACAAGAAACUGCCGGGCUUGAGUAUGGGAGAGGUGAGUGGAAUUUCCGGUGUAGCGGUGAAAUGCGUAGAUAUCGGAAGGAACACCUGUGGCGAAAGCGGCUCACUGGACCAUUACUGACGCUGAGGCACGAAAGCUAGGGGAGCAAACAGGA